Molecule: ribosomal RNA, 512 nt
Filed under: uncultured bacterium
Lineage: Bacteria
Description: bacterial SSU rRNA
Rfam family: Bacterial small subunit ribosomal RNA
Source: RNAcentral
ACACAUGCAAGUCGAGCGCACCCUUUCGGGGCGAGCGGCGGACGGGUUAGUACCCCUUGGGAAUGUACCCUUCUCUAUGGAAUAGCCUCGGGAAACUGAGAGUAAUACCAUAUACGCCCUUCGGGGGAAAGAUUUAUCGGAGAAGGAUCAGCCCGCGUAAGAUUAGAUAGUUGGUGGGGUAAUGGCCUACCAAGUCUACGAUCUUUAGCUGGUUUUAGAGGAUGAUCAGCAACACUGGGACUGAGACACGGCCCAGACUCCUACGGGAGGCAGCAGUGGGGAAUCUUAGACAAUGGGCGCAAGCCUGAUCUAGCCAUGCCGCGUGUGUGAUGAAGGCCUUAGGGUCGUAAAGCACUUUCGCCAGGGAUGAUAAUGACAGUACCUGGUAAAGAAACCCCGGCUAACUCCGUGCCAGCAGCCGCGGUAAUACGGAGGGGGUUAGCGUUGUUCGGAAUUACUGGGCGUAAAGCGCACGUAGGCGGAUCAGAAAGUUGGGGGUGAAAUCCCAGGGC